Non-coding RNA from Acanthosepion pharaonis, 108 nucleotides. NCBI's taxonomy places the organism in Eukaryota, Metazoa, Mollusca, Cephalopoda, Sepiida, Sepiidae. The record is from the annotation of a GenBank genome assembly.
GCCAAAUCACGUUGAAACAUUGAUUCCCGUACGAUCACCGAAAUUAAGCAACGUCGAGUCGGGUCAGUAGUUACAUGGGUGACUGCUUUGGAAUAACAGGUGCUGUAA